GCCUGUUCGAGCGUCAUUGCAACCCUCAAGCCUUGCUUGGUAUUAGACGUCACAGCUGUGGUGCGUCUCAAAAUCAUUGGCGGGUGCCAUUUGGCUUCCAGCGUAGUAAUAUCUCGCUCCGGAGCGCAUGUGCGCAACUGCCUUGCCCCAAAAUAUCAAAGGUUGACCUCGGAUCAGGUAGGGAUACCCGCUGAACUUAA
This 200-nucleotide unclassified non-coding RNA is filed under the name soil metagenome. RNAcentral describes it as "partial contains internal transcribed spacer 2 and large subunit ribosomal RNA". The record is from RNAcentral.